AGCAGCCGCGGUAAUUCCAGCUCCAAUAGCGUAUAUUAAAGUUGUUGCAGUUAAAAAGCUCGUAGUUGAAUUUCGGGAUCAAUAUGUUGGUCGUGCCUCGGUACGUACUAGCUUAUUGGUUUCUCCUUUCUGAAGAACCAUGAUGUCAUUUAUUUGGUGUCGUGGGGAAUCAGGACUGUUACUUUGAAAAAUUAGAGUGUUUAAAGCAGGCUCACGCUUGAAUACAUUAGCAUGGAAUAAUGAAAUAGGACGUUUGAUUCUAUUUUGUUGGUUUUUAGGAUCGACGUAAUGAUUAAUAGGGAUAGUUGGGGGCAUUAGUAUUCAAUUGUCAGAGGUGAAAUUCUUGGAUUUAUUGAAGACUAGCUACUGCGAAAGCAUUUGCCAAGGAUGUUUUCAUUAAUCAAGAACGAAAGUUAGGGGAUCGAAGACGAUCAGAUACCGUCGUAGUCUCAACCAUAAACUAUGCCGACUAGGGAU
Molecule: ribosomal RNA, 477 nt
Filed under: uncultured Glomus
Lineage: Eukaryota; Fungi; Glomeromycota; Glomeromycetes; Glomerales; Glomeraceae
Description: SSU rRNA
Rfam family: Eukaryotic small subunit ribosomal RNA
Source: RNAcentral